UGAGAUAAGGACCAGACUUCUACGGAAGGCAGCAGUGAGGAAUAUUGGUCAAUGGAGGAAACUCUGAAACCAGCUACGCCGCGUGUUGGAUGAAAGUCUUUUAGAUUGUAAACUUCUUUUGCAUAGAAAUAAAAGUUACUACGUGAUAGUAAUCUGAAGGUACUAUGCGAAUAAGUGUCGGCUAAUUUCGUGCCAGCAGCCGCGGCAAUACGAAAGACACAAGCGUUAUCCGGAUUUAUUGGGUUUAAAGGGUGUGUAGGCUGUUUAUUAAGUCAGUAGUGAAAGCUUACAGCUUAACUGUAAAAUUGCUAUUGAUACUGAUAAGCUUGAGUAAGAUUGGAGCAUCUGGAAUGUAUGGUGUAGCGGUGAAAUGCAUAGAUAUCAUACAGAACACCAAUAGCGAAGGCAGGAUGCUAAAUCUUCACUGACGCUGAGGCACGAAAGCGUGGGUAGCAAACAGGAUUAGAUACCCUGGUAGUCCACGCCAUAAACGAUGAUCACUAGCUAUUGGAAAAACUAUAUUCAGUGGCUAAGCCAAAGCGAUAAGUGAUCCACCUGGGAAGUACGAUCGCAAGAUUGAAACUCAAAGGAAUUGACGGGGUUCCGCACAAGCGGUGGAGCAUGUGGUUUAAUUCGAUGAUACGCGAGAAACCUUACCAAGGCUUAAAUGUAUUACGAAUAAGCUGGAAACAACUUAGUCUAUAAGACGUAAUACAAGGUGCUGCAUGGUUGUCAUCAGUUCGUGCUGUGAAGUGUUUGGUUAAGUCCUAUAACGAGCGCAACCCUUAUUGUUAGUUGCCAUCGGGUAAAGCCGGGGACUCUAACAAAACUGCCGAUGAAAAUCGCGAGGAAGGUGGGGAUAAUGUCAA
RNAcentral lists this ribosomal RNA (869 nucleotides) under Candidatus Uzinura diaspidicola. Its description in RNAcentral is "bacterial SSU rRNA". It matches the Rfam family "Bacterial small subunit ribosomal RNA", at positions 320 to 1188 of the family's 1533-position model. Lineage: Bacteria; Pseudomonadati; Bacteroidota; Flavobacteriia; Flavobacteriales. The record is from RNAcentral.